Molecule: ribosomal RNA, 253 nt
Filed under: uncultured bacterium
Lineage: Bacteria
Description: partial 16S ribosomal RNA
Rfam family: Bacterial small subunit ribosomal RNA
Source: RNAcentral
UACGUAGGGCGCGAGCGUUGUCCGGAAUUAUUGGGCGUAAAGAGCUCGUAGGCGGCUUGUUGCGUCUGCUGUGAAAUCCCGGGGCUUAACCCCGGGCGUGCAGUGGAUACGGGCAGGCUGGAGGCAGGCAGGGGAGAACGGAAUUCCCGGUGUAGCGGUGAAAUGCGCAGAUAUCGGGAGGAACACCGGUGGCGAAGGCGGUUCUCUGGGCCUUACCUGACGCUGAGGAGCGAAAGCGUGGGGAGCGAACAGG